AACGCACAUUGCGCCCGCCAGUAUUCUGGCGGGCAUGCCUGUUCGAGCGUCAUUUCAACCAUCAAGCGCCUCGCUUGUGUUGGGGCCCUGCGGCUGCCGCAGGCUCCUAAAUCCAGUGGCGGGCUCGUCGUGGUACCGAGUGUAGUAAACAUCCUCGCUCAGGGAACCCGACGGGUGCCGGCCGUAAAACCCCCCCUUCUUAAGGUUGACCUCGGAUCAGGUAGGAAUACCCGCUGAACUUAA
Molecule: unclassified non-coding RNA, 243 nt
Filed under: uncultured Lasiosphaeriaceae
Lineage: Eukaryota; Fungi; Ascomycota; Sordariomycetes; Sordariales; Lasiosphaeriaceae
Description: sequence contains ITS2
Rfam family: 5.8S ribosomal RNA (bases 1-52)
Source: RNAcentral